CUCUAGAGAAUGAAGCCUCACAAUGAUAUGAUGUUGGCUCCAUUGCACUUAGUUAAGUCAUUCCCACCAUGCAAAUUCGAGUAGGGGUUCAAGAACAACCUUACAAUGAUAUUAUGUUGAUCAUUCUCAUUGCCUACCUUCACAACAUCAUGUAUGCAUAUAGAACUCCUCCUGAGUGUAAGCACGCACUUUGUACUCCCCCAUGAUAAGGUGAAGUCGGUGUACAAAUCACAAACGAUCGGAGCCUACCACGGUGGAAGGCCACGAAAGAGUGUUCAAAGCACUCUCAUGCUUAUCAACUUAAUAAUGGUUUGGUUGAGGGUUUUAGGUCUCCUCACAUAUAAGCAUGCAUUUUAAUCUUAUUAAAACAAUUUGGUCCUAUUACAACUAUUGGUCCAUGUGAUUGAUUUAGUUGUAUAUAAUACUCCCACUAUGCUUGUAAAAUGGUUUUUAAAGCAAGAGUAUAUGAUACUACUAACAUAAGGUUUGCAUUCAUUGAUGGACUAUAUAGUUGCCUUAGGGCCUUAGGAUGACUAUGAACCUUUGAUUCGAUCCAACACGAGCCUAGUGUUGAAUCUCGGUAUAGGGAUGGUGAUUGAUUUUAGUUACGCGUUUAAUCAUAUUAAGGCUUCUUUUUCUUAUUGGGUGUUGGACCCAACUACUCCAAUUUCAUGCAUAUCAAAUAAAACAAGAAAGGAGUACUUCAAAGUAAAGAAGAGCUUAUGCUCUUUUACAACAUUUGAUCAUAUCAAAUUACAACCAAAAUCUAAUCUACACAUUCCCAUGGUUCAAACAAAUUUGAGACGGCCUUUCACAUAGCUCAAUUAUCGUAGGCUUAGGUUCAUAAUCACCAUUUCUUUAAUUAAUUAACGCUUUAACUAAUUAAACUUGAAUGCAACAUUUUCAUUUGGUUUUUGUUUCCAUAGAAUUGAUUUAAAUGGAGCUAAAUGAAAUGAAAAUCCAAUUCUCAUUUAAAGAUACAAAACUAUUUUGUUCUCAACUAAUUUGGGCCAAAUGCAAUAACCUCAACUUUUUGGGCUAUGUUGCAAAACACAAACUUUUGAGGUCACUUUGUAAGAACACAAAAGUCCACUACUUCAUGUAAUUACAACUAGAACCCAAAAAUUUCAUCAAAUACAAAAACUUCAUUAAAGGAGCAAAACAAUUUGUCCUUUAGUGAUUUUGGGCCUUCACGUAAAAACGUAAACUUUCGGGUCAAAGUACAAAUACACAAAAGUAUCAAAACUUUAUGUAAUUGUUUAAAAACCCCAAAAGUACCCUAUUUUAAUAGGGUGGCCGGUUGGUGAGAGUGAUGGUGUCAUAAAAACUUUUGAAUUUUUCAACAAAGUGAAAGGUGAUGGGUUGGUUUGAAAAAGUAGGUUUCCAUAAAACAUGGUUCCUUGAAACAAGGAAAAGGUGUAAGUGAUUGGUAUGGGUAUUUAUUGAAAAUUCAAACCAUCCAUCACAAACAAAAACUUUAUUCAACAACCAAAACUUUUGAAUCAAAAUACCCAACCUUUUUGUUCUUGCCAAAAACAUAACAAGAACAAUGAAGAACAUCCAUGAAAACCCAUAAGAGCUCCAUGAACAUUUUUCACCCAAAGACACCCCAAAAACUCUCAAACUUAAGGGAAAUAAGAUAUUACCAUACUAGGGUACUUAGGGGUUCCUAAAGUCACCUUAAAACACUUUUA
Molecule: long non-coding RNA, 1694 nt
Filed under: Malus domestica (apple)
Lineage: Eukaryota; Viridiplantae; Streptophyta; Magnoliopsida; Rosales; Rosaceae
Description: long non-coding RNA (MDOM_LNC004232)
Source: RNAcentral